This is a long non-coding RNA of Triticum aestivum (bread wheat), 673 nucleotides long. RefSeq lists it as uncharacterized. The record is from RefSeq and is a predicted model, not a curated record. The transcript has 2 exons. NCBI's taxonomy places the organism in Eukaryota, Viridiplantae, Streptophyta, Magnoliopsida, Poales, Poaceae.
UGAAACUCUUCCAUCUUCGUUUCUACUAGAUCAUAAAAAUCCACCGCUGCCGCGACCUUAUCCUCACCCCAUUUCGCCUCUUGGGAUCCAUCCAUCUUGAUCUCGUAUGCUGUUCUCUGCUCGCGCUGCCGGUGGCCACGCGACGCACCGCGUCUCCUCCUGCCGCCCCACGCGCCUUUGCCGCCAGGUCAGUUGUUGCUGACGAUCUACUGUCGCCCCAUGCCAUCGACCUACUGCUGCAGAGGAUGGAGUUGUCGUGUGCUCGGCAGCCUUGCGCAAUCUAUAUCCUGAGCGCGGUCGCGCCCCUCUCCCCCUCUAGAGUUUUUUAUUUCCAUUCAAGUGACUCCGGCAGCUAGAUGCACCCAUCCAAGAUCUGCACGACUGCUGGUGACUAUGAAAUUGUUUCCAAAAUUCUCUGUUUUAGCUACCUAUCAUAAAGGGUACCUAUCCAAGGCAUGCAUCAUUAGUCCAACAUAAAAUUUCCAUACCCAAGGUCAUCUGUGAUCAGAGGAACACUUUAUGUACAAUCAGUACAGAGUACAGACCAUGUGAAACUAAAGAGCUAUGUAACUAUGUAAUAUGGGCUUUUAUUUUUGAUAAGGUAUGUUAAUUAUAUGAGAUGAUCACUUCCUUGAUUUUUCAGAGGUAUGGAUCUGUUGUGUUUAGUUUGUCC